ACGUAAACAACCUGCCUUCAGGAUGGGGACAACAGACGGAAACGACUGCUAAUACCGAAUAAGUUCCAAGAGCCGCAUGGCCCAUGGAAGAAAAGGUGGCCUCUACCUGUAAGCUNUCGCCUGAAGAGGGGUUUGCGUCUGAUUAGCUGGUUGGAGGGGUAACGGCCCACCAAGGCGACGAUCAGUAGCCGGUCUGAGAGGAUGAACGGCCACACUGGAACUGAGACACGGUCCAGACUCCUACGGGAGGCAGCAUG
RNAcentral lists this ribosomal RNA (257 nucleotides) under uncultured bacterium. RNAcentral describes it as "partial 16S ribosomal RNA". It matches the Rfam family "Bacterial small subunit ribosomal RNA", at positions 115 to 353 of the family's 1533-position model. The record is from RNAcentral.